GUCAAUAUAAAAAUUUCAGGUGCCUGUUAAGGCACAAUAGGGAACCCUGUGCGAAUCAGGGAUGGGCCCGCCGCUGUGAUCGGAGACGAACGCUGCAUUUAUGUCACUGGCUUUAUAACGCUGGGAAGACGCAGUUAAUAGGAUGACCCGAAAGUCAGAAGACCUGCCUGAAAAAGUUUAAUCUG
Molecule: non-coding RNA, 185 nt
Filed under: Desulfobacula toluolica
Lineage: Bacteria; Pseudomonadati; Thermodesulfobacteriota; Desulfobacteria; Desulfobacterales; Desulfobacteraceae
Also listed under: 1 other name
Source: RNAcentral